Molecule: ribosomal RNA, 420 nt
Filed under: Fusobacteriota bacterium
Lineage: Bacteria; Fusobacteriati; Fusobacteriota
Description: Fusobacteria bacterium partial 16S ribosomal RNA
Rfam family: Bacterial small subunit ribosomal RNA
Source: RNAcentral
UGGGGGAUAUUGCACAAUGGGCGAAAGCCUGAUGCAGCGACGCCGCGUGGGGGAUGAAGGCUUUCGGGUUGUAAACCUCUUUCGCUAUCGAACAAGGCCCGCUUAGGGUGGGUUGAGGGUAGGUGGAGAAGAAGCGCCGGCUAACUACGUGCCAGCAGCCGCGGUAAUACGUAGGGCGCGAGCGUUGUCCGGAAUUAUUGGGCGUAAAGGGCUUGUAGGCGGCUUGUUGCGCCUGCUGUGAAAACGCGGGGCUUAACUUCGCGCGUGCAGUGGGUACGGGCAGGCUUGAGUGUGGUAGGGGUGACUGGAAUUCCAGGUGUAGCGGUGGAAUGCGCAGAUAUCUGGAGGAACACCAAUGGCGAAGGCAACUUUCUGGAAUCAAACUGACGCUGAGGUACGAAGGCGUGGGGAGCAAACAGG